UACGAAGGGGGCUAGCGUUGCUCGGAAUCACUGGGCGUAAAGCGCACGUAGGCGGCUUUUUAAGUCAGGGGUGAAAUCCUGGAGCUCAACUCCAGAACUGCCUUCGAUACUGGGAGUCUCGAGUUCGGGAGAGGUGAGUGGAACUGCGAGUGUAGAGGUGAAAUUCGUAGAUAUUCGCAAGAACACCAGUGGCGAAGGCGGCUCACUGGCCCGAUACUGACGCUGAGGUGCGAAAGCGUGGGGAGCAAACAGG
This 253-nucleotide ribosomal RNA is filed under the name uncultured bacterium. Its description in RNAcentral is "partial 16S ribosomal RNA". It matches the Rfam family "Bacterial small subunit ribosomal RNA", at positions 524 to 776 of the family's 1533-position model. The record is from RNAcentral.